AGAGUGAACGCUGGCGGCAGGCCUAACACAUGCAAGUCGAACGGCAGCACAGGAGAGCUUGCUCUCUGGGUGGCGAGUGGCGGACGGGUGAGGAAUACGUCGGAAUCUGCCUAUUUGUGGGGGAUAACGUAGGGAAACUUACGCUAAUACCGCAUACGACCUACGGGUGAAAGCGGAGGACCUUCGGGCUUCGCGCAGAUAGAUGAGCCGACGUCGGAUUAGCUAGUUGGGCGGGGUAAAGGCCCACCGAAGGCGACGAUCCGUAGUUGGUCUGAGAGGAUGAUCAGCCACACUGGAACUGAGACACGGUCCAGACUCCGUACGGGAGCAG
This 331-nucleotide ribosomal RNA is filed under the name uncultured soil bacterium. RNAcentral describes it as "bacterial SSU rRNA". It matches the Rfam family "Bacterial small subunit ribosomal RNA", at positions 26 to 351 of the family's 1533-position model. The record is from RNAcentral.